RNAcentral lists this ribosomal RNA (779 nucleotides) under uncultured bacterium. Its description in RNAcentral is "bacterial SSU rRNA". It matches the Rfam family "Bacterial small subunit ribosomal RNA", at positions 39 to 805 of the family's 1533-position model. The record is from RNAcentral.
GCGACAGGCUUAACACAUGCAAGUCGAGGGGCAGCAUGAUUUGUAGCAAUACAGAUUGAUGGCGACCGGCGCACGGGUGAGUAACGCGUAUGCAACUUACCUAUCAGAGGGGGAUAGCCCGGCGAAAGUCGGAUUAAUACCCCAUAAAACAGGGGUCCCGCAUGGGAAUAUUUGUUAAAGAUUCAUCGCUGAUAGAUAGGCAUGCGUUCCAUUAGGCAGUUGGCGGGGGUAACGGCCCACCAAACCGACGAUGGAUAGGGGUUCUGAGAGGAAGGUCCCCCACAUUGGUACUGAGACACGGACCAAACUCCUACGGGAGGCAGCAGUGAGGAAUAUUGGUCAAUGGCCGAGAGGCUGAACCAGCCAAGUCGCGUGAAGGAAGAAGGAUCUAUGGUUUGUAAACUUCUUUUAUAGGGGAAUAAAGUGGAGGACGUGUCCUUUUUUGUAUGUACCCUAUGAAUAAGCAUCGGCUAACUCCGUGCCAGCAGCCGCGGUAAUACGGAGGAUGCGAGCGUUAUCCGGAUUUAUUGGGUUUAAAGGGUGCGUAGGUGGUGAUUUAAGUCAGCGGUGAAAGUUUGUGGCUCAACCAUAAAAUUGCCGUUGAAACUGGGUUACUUGAGUGUGUUUGAGGUAGGCGGAAUGCGUGGUGUAGCGGUGAAAUGCAUAGAUAUCACGCAGAACUCCGAUUGCGAAGGCAGCUUACUAAACCAUAACUGACACUGAAGCACGAAAGCGUGGGGAUCAAACAGGAUUAGAUACCCUGGUAGUCCACGCAGUAA